This 241-nucleotide long non-coding RNA is filed under the name Nicotiana benthamiana. RNAcentral describes it as "long non-coding RNA (NBEN_LNC029799)". Lineage: Eukaryota; Viridiplantae; Streptophyta; Magnoliopsida; Solanales; Solanaceae. The record is from RNAcentral.
CUCCGCCCAUACAACAUGGCCGGUCUAACCAUAGCUCUAUAAAAUUUCCCCUUGAGUUUCUGUGGAACUUUCUUGUCAUACAGGACUCCUAAUGCAAGCCUCCACUUUGACCACCCCGCUCCUAUACGAUGAGUGACGUCCCCGUCAAUCUCUCCAUCUCCCUGAAUCACCGACCCAAGAUAACGGACUCUGUCCUUCUUGGUGAUGAUCUGAGAGCCAAUCAUCACGUCCCUCCCUACUU